Molecule: ribosomal RNA, 557 nt
Filed under: uncultured bacterium
Lineage: Bacteria
Description: bacterial SSU rRNA
Rfam family: Bacterial small subunit ribosomal RNA
Source: RNAcentral
CAGCGUUAUCGGAUUACUGGGCGUAAAGCGCACGCAGGCGGUCUGUCAAGUCGGAUGUGAAAUCCCCGGGCUCAACCUGGGAACUGCAUUCGAAACUGGCAGGCUAGAGUCUUGUAGAGGGGGGUAGAAUUCCAGGUGUAGCGGUGAAAUGCGUAGAGAUCUGGAGGAAUACCGGUGGCGAAGGCGGCCCCCUGGACAAAGACUGACGCUCAGGUGCGAAAGCGUGGGGAGCAAACAGGAUUAGAUACCCUGGUAGUCCACGCCGUAAACGAUGUCGACUUGGAGGUUGUGCCCUUGAGGAGUGGCUUCCGGAGCUAACGCGUUAAGUCGACCGCCUGGGGAGUACGGCCGCAAGGUUAAAACUCAAAUGAAUUGACGGGGGCCCGCACAAGCGGUGGAGCAUGUGGUUUAAUUCGAUGCAACGCGAAGAACCUUACCUACUCUUGACAUCCAGAGAACUUAGCAGAGAUGCUUUGGUGCCUUCGGGAACUCUGAGACAGGUGCUGCAUGGCUGUCGUCAGCUCGUGUUGUGAAAUGUUGGGUUAAGUCCCGCAACG